This 6582-nucleotide long non-coding RNA is filed under the name Coffea arabica (coffee). RNAcentral's name for it is "long non-coding RNA (CARA_LNC002820)". The record is from RNAcentral. Lineage: Eukaryota; Viridiplantae; Streptophyta; Magnoliopsida; Gentianales; Rubiaceae.
ACAUCUUCUCACGACUCCAGGCAAAAUCCAUCGGCAAAUGCAGGUGCGUUUCAAAGCCAUGGCGCUCUCUACUUUCUGACCCACUUUUCAUCAAAGCCCACCUCAAUCUCCACCUCCAUCACCCCCAAAAGCACAUCCUCAUCUCUAUUUCCCAUUCUCCUUCCUCUUACAAUUUAUCCGUUGUAACUUUCACCACCACCAGUGGCAGCAGUAACAACGAUGGCUUUUUGGAAAAGCUGACCCUUUUGCAGAACCAAUUGUGCUUCGCUGAAAUUGUUGGUUCUUGCAACGGGUUGGUGUUGGUGCUAACUUUUGAAGGGUCAAACACACCAACAAUGUAUUUGAUGAACCCCACUACCAGGGAGCUUGUGAAAUUUCAACCUAGCCCAUUGGUUUGGGAUGAUGCAGAAACUAGUUAUGGUUUUGGUUAUGAUAGUUCUAGUGAUGACUAUAAAAUUGUUACGCUGUCUCACGAUUGGCUUCUUGACAAAACAGAGAGUUAUCCUGCCUUUGUUGAUGUAUUUAGUUGGCAGACUGGAACUUGGAGGAGGAUUGGCUGUUUUCCUUAUGUUCCUAGUUCGCAUUCUGGUGUGUUUCUAAACGGGUCUAUACACUGGCUUGCUUUGUCUAAAAUUGAUGGAUUGUGUGUUAUAAUUGCUUUGGAUAUGAGCUGCAAGCAAUUUCAGCAAUUGCCAUGGCCUGAGACUGAUAAUACUCCUCAUAAUGGCAGUCGUAAGCUUGUACUGCUUGGUGGAUGUCUAGGAAUGGUUGUGGUGCAAUCUAGACAGCAUGUGGAUGUUUGGAUGAUGAAGGAGUAUGGUGUUGGAGAAUCUUGGACCAAAUUCAUUGUUACUACACCUAAAAAUGCGUCUGUGUGGGGACCUAUAUGCCUGUUGGGGGGUGAUGAUGUUGUUUUGCAGAUGGGUGGUAAGAACUUUGUUGUGGUGCAUUAUUUGAAAGAGAGAACUAUGAGGGAUAUGGUAAUUGCUGGCAUUCGAGAUAAGUUUAGAAGAGGAGUAAUAGGCUUUUCCGAGAGCCUUGUGUCACCUAUUUUCAACAGUCAGCAAUGGAGAGCAACAUUACCUGAGGAUGACUUUCAAAAUUCAUGCUAGUGGAGGUAAAAGCUUACUUUUCUUUGAAGGACUAUUGAGAAAGGUUAACAGUUGGUUUAGUCUUACUUUUGUAGAAGUUGCAAUGACUGACAAAAUUGUACUUGCUAAUUUGAUUAAUCAAAGCAUUCUAAAACGGGGAAAUAGGUUUGAAAGAGCCAAAACAAGUAUAUAAAUUGAAGAAGUGAAAAAAGAGGGAAAUGAAUCUGUGCUUCUUGAAUGUGGCAAUCUUGAACUAGCAUUAAAAGUUCACAGUUUGGUUUAGAUCGUGAGCAUUUUUUUUAGCUAGUUUCAAGUGAACAAUGCUGAACACUAGGACUUGCUACUUUGUGGACAAAGGGUAAAAUAAAGGCAAAAAGCAGAACAAAUAGUGUUGAAGAGUUGUAGCUCCGUCUUAAAUUUUCGCCCAACUAUGCCUGUUUUCAGAUUCAUCAUUCUAAAGAGUCAUUUACUUGGUAUAUCUGCAUGAUAUUUUAUCUCCCUCCAUCAAUUGUUGUCUUUGCAGCUAUAAUUACAUUAAGGGUCCAUCUUUAUACCAUGCCCUCUUCUUUAUCAGUUGAUGAAAUGGCUAGAUAAAAUCUACUGGUUUAAAUUAAGUACCAUGCAAUUUUACGGUUAAGGUGCAUCCUUGAACCAAGUUCCGAGCUGCUCUUAGAUUGAGUAGAUUUUUUUCUUCACCCAGGCUAUCCUAAAACUUGAGAAAUGGAUGUGAACAAGAGGAAUGCUUUUGCUUUGUAAACACAGAAUCGGCAUAUUUUGAGGUUGAGUAUGUCAAUGGAGGUUUAAAAUGGUGAAAUCUGUCUCUUUUAAGGUUUCUUAUCUCUUUAGCCAAAGUUUUAUGGUUUCUUAAGGGCAUCAGAUAUUUCGUCUUGAUAAAGUUUUGUUACCAUUUUAAACACCUGCUUCUAUAAUUAGUCUUCGUAGUGUUUUUUGGGGUUGUAAUUGAUUGACAAUGGGCCACAAUGCCUUUGAUUCAGCAUGCUAGACAAAUUUUUUGAAUGUUUAUUGUGGAACUAUUAACUUUUUUUUUUUUGUGAUGAAGUUUAGCCCAAAUCUACCCCAGGUUGAGUAGAUUUUGGCCUUCUAAUGACAUAUUUACUUCAGGAUUUUGGGGUUUGACAUCCUUUGCAUCUGUUUCUGUAAUUCUAUUUUCUUCUUUUCUUUUAGUGAUUUUUUUAUUACUUCUUUACUUUUUAAUUGGAGCAUGUGCAAGGUGAAAAAUGUUGCUUGAUGAAACUUUAACGUGUAGGCUGUGGUAGUUAAGUUGAAGAUUAGGUAAUAUACUUACAAGUGGUCUGAGUAACUAAUUAGAUGUCAUUCAGUGCUCUGACCAGUUGAUAUCUUUCAUAUACUUCUGAAAUUAGCAUUUUAAUUGUUGAUGUUUCUGAACUCUAUCUUCCCAUUAUUCUAUUUUACUUUGAGAUUUUAACUGACUUUAUGUGCUGAGUUUGCUGAUGUGAAUGCAACAGAUUCAUGAUUCCAUUUAGCUUGGUUGUGGACUGAAACUUAUUUUCCCAUUCUAUUCCUCAGACACACAAGCUGGCAUAGCAUAAUGACAUUUCCCACCAUUAAAUAUUUCAAGAUGGAGAAACACACAUGUGAAUGUUAUAGCCGUCUUGUUUAUGGUGUUAUAGAUGACAUGUUGCGAUCUUUUGAGUGUAUAGCCUUUCAAGAAUUUAAAACUGCUUUUACUUCUUUAAUCAGAUUUAUGGGUUUGUAUAUAACAUUUCAGAAGUGAAGAUGUUCAAUUGCUGACUUCAACUUUGGAUACUGCAAUCAGGUUUCCAAGCAAUUGUAGAGGUUCCAUUGAAGCUGCUGCUUUAGUCUUCAUGGUGAUGCAUAAUGAAGCUGAUGGAGCUACAUUGCACUUGAAAGUAUUAUUGAACAUAUUUCUGUGUAGAGAUUCAAUAGACAUAUAUGUGUUAUAGCAGGAGCCUUGUAGAAUAGGCUGUUUGAUUUGGUUGUACAUGUUAUUUGACGAGAAUAUCUACUGCUAGGAUGUGAAUGUUUGCCUCACAAUCACCCUAAUAAGUGCACUGUAUUCUCUUUGUUGCCAAUUCUCAAACUUUAUCAGCUUAAAUGUGUGGAUUGCCAGGCAUUGGUUUUCAAUUGGAUGGACACUCAGGUUCUUUGAGACCUCAAACAGUGAGAUGGUUAUCAGGGAAGAAGAAGCAGCUUUAUUUUUUCUUCUAGUAAUUCAGAAUUUGCAGAGCUUUUGAAAGAUUAGUAGCCAAUUGUUUAAGGUACUCUGUUACAUUUGUUUUUGGCGUGUGGUCAAUGCAUGUUAAUUCAUAUUUUCUUUCCACUGCCAAUUAUUGAAGUGAAAUUUAGGAAAAUUGGUCCCCUUAAGUUGUGCAUCUCUAGUGAAACAUAUUCUAUGAAGAAGUUAAGCUAAGACAAGACAAUUGGCGCAGCUUCAAUUUUGAAGAAAAUCUUACAUUAAAUCCAUCAAAGGAAAACAAUAAUGCUUAAGGAAAGGCUAUAUUCAACUUUAGAAACAGGUUUUUUUGGGACAUCUAUGCAACCUUAAGCCAGAAGAAUGUGUGUAACAUCCGUGGAAUGCAUCUCCUAGGUUAUAAAACAACAAAGAGAUGCAAGAAAAUAAAAAGAAAUAUGAACAGUUAAUUUUUUUCCCCUUUUCUUUAGCAGUCAUCAAUGUUGUUGAAUUAAGUACCAAAGUUACAUUCCUUCUCCUUAAAUAUUCAUUAACGGUUGCUAAAAAGAUUAAAAAAAAGAAGAAGAGAGAGAUAGAUAUCUGAAUCAUUUGGAGACGGAACAAAUAUUAAUCAAAUGACUUUUGAGGUUAUAAUAAGGUGUUUGGUUAAAUACCAAUCCACGAACUUGAUAGAAAAACUUAAACUAAAUUGUUUAUGCAUGUCAGCGUAUACAUCAAUGGGUCUAAAUGCAUACGCUAAUAGUUUAGAAAAAUUAAUUCUAGAACUUGUAUUAUCGAAAGUACUUUUAGCAAAAUGUUAAAAUUGAUGGUUAAGAAUAAUUCUUGUGCUUUAAAAAAUAAAACAUCAAUUUUGAACAUUUUAUCAGCAAUUAUGAAUUGAAUUAAAAAGAUAAAUAUACUUUAAAAAUACAAAGUAUGUAUUCAAACAAUAUAUUUAAAGGGAUAAUUUUAGAAAUCUCCCUUGAGGUUUCUAACUAUUUCACUUAGUUCCCUUGAUAUUUUUAAAAUUACAUUUACUUCUCUUGAUUUGACGCUUUGGUAACCAAAACUUAAAAUAGUGUCAAAAUUUUAAUGAAUAUUCUAAAAUGUCCUUAUCUUAUAAAGUUUAAUUUGUUCAUCUAAACAAUUAUAAAUUAAUUUGGCACAAUUAUAUUAAAAAAGAGUGUCAAGUUUUUCAUGCCAAUAUUUGUUAUUUGAUAAUCAACUAUAACAAUAAAUCUUUUGUUACAAUAGGCCAUUUUUCAUAGGGUUAAAUGCAAAAAACUCCCACAAACUAUAUACCCAUUUGCAGUUUACCCCUUAAACUAUAAUAGGUAUUUUGUUCUCUUGAAUGAUAUGUUUGGACAACACUAUCCCUAUUAUCUUAAAUCCUUUCUUUUUUUUUUUCUCUAUUAGUUUUUUUCAUUUUUUUUCCUUUUAUUUUCUUUUUGUUCUCCUUCUCUCGUGGAACUAACCAACAUCUCUCUCCGAUGUGAAAAGACUUACAUAAAAAAUUUUAAUAUUUUUUAAACUACUUUUUCAAUUUGUUUAUUUGUUAAAUUCUUUCUUAAUAAUUUGUCAUAAACUCUUUGUUAUUACAAAAUAUAUGUAGCUUAUAUUGUAAAGUAUAUUAAUCUAGUAAUUCAACAAUUUAAGUACCUAUAAACUAAUUAAGAGUUCACAGUUAUUCAACUACUUAUAAUAAAAGUAACAUAUUAUAUAUCACAUAAAAAAGAAAAGUUAGCAAUUGCUUUUUGUAGUGAAAUAAAAAAUAAGAAUAAACAACAAUAGUAGUUCAUUUUUUUUUUGUUAUUGAUACUACUAAUAAUUGAUUUAUCAAUUUCUCUAUUUUGUUAUUAUAUAUUUGAAAAGUUCAAUUUCUUAAAUGACAUUGACUUCAACACUUGGAAAAAAAAUCUUGUAUUCCAUAGAUUUUUUUUUAAUAAAAUAUUGACAUACGAAAUUAAGAAAUAAAAAAUUUUGACUAAUCUAAUCUACUUAUUUAAAUAAUGUUUAGAGAAAAAAAGGAAGAAUUUAAAAAGAAAAUGAUAGGGAAAAAAGAAAAAUAACAAUGCUUAAAAUAAAAGGGGUAGAUUUGUCCAAACAUAUCAUUCAAGGGGGCAAAAUGUCUAUUAUUAUAGUUUAGGGGGUAAACUACAACUCGGUAUAUAGUUUAUGGGAUUUUUUGCAUUUAACCCUUUUUCAUAUUGCUUUAUUGGAGAUAUAUAUUCUUUUUAAGAUAGAGAAGAAAUUGUUAUCUUGUUUUUCUUAAAGUUUUUGGACUAUUUUUUUUAAUAAAAAUUUAUGGACUAACUUACUGAUGGAACUAUCAUAGUUUGAUAAUGAUUUUGGGCCAUUUUAUUUUUAAUUUUUGUUGAUUUAUUCUUGAUUUUGAUACAAAGAAAGAGUUAUAAAAAAUUGGAUGAUAUUAAAAGUUAUUAAGAAAAUAUUCCUAGUUUAACAUUUGAUCAAGGGAGAUAUUACGGAUAACAUUGAUAGUUGUUCUAUACUUCUAAUAGAAUAUAAGAGAAAUGAAUAAAAAGAAAAAAAGAAAAAAAAUUAUAAAAUCCAUCCUUUGUAUAAACAUGGUAACAAGGGAAUUUUAUUAAAAUAUUAAGGUUAAUAUUAAAGAUCAAACAUUGUCAUCUUAAAUGGGUAAGGGAGUUAGGUGUAAUGUUUGAAAUUAUAGGAGAGCUAAGUGAAAUCAUGAGAAACCUUAGGGAGUUUUCUAAAAUUAUCCCAUAUUUAAUACUUAAUUUUCCUAGAAAAAAAAAGCAAGAAAGGGAAUAGGAAAAAAAAAUAAUUCCCUAAUAAAGAUCAAACAUUUCACUGCUAGCUUUGGUGCUUUCCCAACUUCGAGAAAGACGCCGCUGCUCCUCACCGUCUACGCCUCCUUCCACCGGUAAACCCCUACCACCUCCACCAUCACCUCCACCUCCACCUCCACCUCCACCUCCACCUCCACCUCCAUCUGCAGAUUUUAUGCUUACUAAGUAUACAAUUAAUCCAUGUCCUUGAAAUUUUUCCAUCAAACAGAAAUGCCGGUUGCCACGGCCGACUCAGCUCCAGAUAUCCCCCAAGAACUCAUCAUCGAUAUUCUCUUACGACUCCCGACAAAAUCCGUCGGCAAAUGCAGGUGCGUUUCGAAGCCAUGGCGCUGUCUACUUUCCGACCCACUUUUCAUCAAAGCCCACCUCAGUCUCCACCUCCAUCACUCCCAAAAGCACAUCCUCAUCUCCAUUUCCCGUUCUCCUCCCUCUUCCAAUUUAUCCGUUGUAACUUUCACCACCACCAGUGGCAGCAGUAACAACGACGGCU